GCCCAGACUCCUACGGGAGGCAGCAGUGGGGGAUAUUGCACAAUGGGGGGAACCCUGAUGCAGCGACGCCGCGUGAGUGAAGAAGUAAUUCGUUAUGUAAAGCUCUAUCAGCAGGGAAGAAUAAAUGACGGUACCUGAGUAAGAGGCCCCGGCUAACUACGUGCCAGCAGCCGCGGUAAUACGUAGGGGGCAAGCGUUAUCCGGAUUUACUGGGUGUAAAGGGAGCGUAGACGGCGAUGCAAGCCAGAUGUGAAAGCCCGCGGCUCAACUGCGGUAGUGCAUUUGGAACUGUAUGGCUGGAGUGCAGGAGAGGCAGGCGGAAUUCCUAGUGUAGCGGUGAAAUGCGUAGAUAUUGCGCAGAACUCCGAUUGCGAAGGCAGCAUACCGGCGGCGAUCUGACGCUGAGGCACGAAAGCGUGGGUAUCGAACAGGAUUAGAUACCCGCGUAU
RNAcentral lists this ribosomal RNA (449 nucleotides) under uncultured bacterium. Its description in RNAcentral is "bacterial SSU rRNA". It matches the Rfam family "Bacterial small subunit ribosomal RNA", at positions 329 to 793 of the family's 1533-position model. The record is from RNAcentral.